This 301-nucleotide ribosomal RNA is filed under the name uncultured bacterium. Its description in RNAcentral is "partial 16S ribosomal RNA". It matches the Rfam family "Bacterial small subunit ribosomal RNA", at positions 509 to 807 of the family's 1533-position model. The record is from RNAcentral.
CAGCAGCCGCGGUAAUACGGAGGGAGCUAGCGUUGUUCGGAAUUACUGGGCGUAAAGCGCACGUAGGCGGUUAUUCAAGUCAGAGGUGAAAGCCCGUGGCUCAACCCCGGAACUGCCUUUGAAACUAGAUGACUGGAAUCUUGGAGAGGUCAGUGGAAUUCCGAGUGUAGAGGUGGAAUUCGUAGAUAUUCGGAAGAACACCAGUGGCGAAGGCGACUGACUGGACAAGUAUUGACGCUGAGGUGCGAAAGCGUGGGGAGCAAACAGGAUUAGAUACCCCCGUAGUCCCUGUCUCUUAUAC